RNAcentral lists this long non-coding RNA (220 nucleotides) under Mytilus galloprovincialis (Mediterranean mussel). Lineage: Eukaryota; Metazoa; Mollusca; Bivalvia; Mytilida; Mytilidae. The record is from RNAcentral.
GAAACAUUGGUACCGAUAAUAAUGUUCAUCGGUUUACUGAUAAUACAGGUUUAAUAAAAGUUAUAAUUCCGCAUUUAUUCUCGAGUCCCCCCUUUUAUCUUUUCAUUCUGAACUUUGACCGUGUAUGUCACGUGACUUUAGCGUAUUGUGACGUUACUUCCAAAUUUUCUAACGUUUGAACGGGAAGCUUAUUCAAUCCCACCCACCUACUCCGACAAUC